CCGUCCAGCCUUCAGUUCCAGCUCCUCUUGCCAAAGCUGUGCUAGAGGACUUGGGGCGGACGUAGAUUGAACAAUCUCUUAAAUUAGGAGGGCUUCUUUGAGUGUUGAGCUGUCCUCAAAGGCGCAAGAGGACAUC
Varanus komodoensis (Komodo dragon) is the source of this 136-nucleotide non-coding RNA. Ensembl annotates it as small Cajal body-specific RNA 11. NCBI's taxonomy places the organism in Eukaryota, Metazoa, Chordata, Lepidosauria, Squamata, Varanidae. The record is from Ensembl.